This 485-nucleotide ribosomal RNA is filed under the name Clostridioides difficile. RNAcentral's name for it is "bacterial LSU rRNA". It matches the Rfam family "Bacterial large subunit ribosomal RNA", at positions 706 to 1191 of the family's 2925-position model. Lineage: Bacteria; Bacillati; Bacillota; Clostridia; Peptostreptococcales; Peptostreptococcaceae. The record is from RNAcentral.
GACGUAGACCCGAAACCGGGCGACCUACCCAUGAGCAGGAUGAAGCGAAAGUAAAAUUUCGUGGAGGUCCGAACCCACGAGCGUUGAAAAGCUCGGGGAUGACUUGUGGGUAGCGGUGAAAUUCCAAGCGAGCCCGGAGAUAGCUGGUUCUCCCCGAAAUAGCUUUAGGGCUAGCCUCAAGGUGAGAGAUACGGAGGUAGAGCACUGAAUGUCCUAGGGGGUAUUGCACCUACCGAAGACUAGCAAACUCCGAAUGCCGUCAUCUUAUACUUGGGAGUCAGACGGUGGGUGAUAAGAUUCAUAGUCGAAAGGGCAACAGCCCAGAUCGUCAGCUAAGGUCCCUAAAUGUAAGUUAAGUGGUAAAGGAUGUGGGAUUGCACAGACAACCAGGAUGUUGGCUUAGAAGCAGCCACUCAUUCAAAGAGUGCGUAAUAGCUCACUGGUCGAGUGAUCCUGCGCCGAAGAUUUCCGGGGCUAAAACUUAC